GAGCGCGGAGGCGCGCACGCGGGGCCCCAGCCGCGCGCAGCCGCGGUCUCCCUAGUUGUGUCCCUCAGCCGCGGUCGCCGUAGCUCUCGACGCGGUCGUCCCCGCCGAGCCGCGGGCGCCGCCGCAGGGAGGGAGCGGCGCUGCGGCCGCCGCCGUCCGAGGACGCCCCGUAUUCCGGGGCCCGGCACGGUGGCUGCCCGCUCGCCGAGCGCAGCCCGCCUAGGAGGAAGGCGGCGGCUUGCGUCCAGCGGGCCGCCGGAGCCGGGAGGAGACCAUGUCCGUGAGGCGCCCUCAGUUCUCCACGACCGAGCGCGUCAUCAAAGCUGUCCCCUUUCCUCCAACCCGACGGCUAACUUUGAAGGAAGUUUUUGAGAAUGGGAAACCUAAAAUGGAUCUUUUGAAAAACCAUUUAGUAAAAGAAGGUCGGGUGGAAGAGGAGGUGGCCUUAAAGAUCAUCAAUGAUGGGGCUGCCAUCCUGAAGCAGGAGAAGACCAUGAUAGAGGUGGAGGCUCCGAUCACAGUGUGUGGUGAUGUUCAUGGACAAUUCUUUGACCUGAUGAAGUUGUUUGAAGUUGGGGGAUCACCUAGUAAUACUCGCUACCUCUUCCUGGGUGACUAUGUGGACAGAGGCUAUUUCAGUAUAGAGUGUGUGCUGUAUCUAUGGAGCUUAAAGAUUAACCAUCCUAAAACAUUGUUUCUGCUUCGAGGAAAUCAUGAAUGCAGGCAUCUUACAGAGUACUUCACCUUCAAACAGGAAUGUCGGAUCAAGUAUUCAGAGAUGGUGUACGAUGCGUGCAUGCACACUUUCGACUGUCUUCCUCUUGCUGCCCUCUUAAACCAGCAGUUUCUCUGUGUACAUGGAGGAAUGUCUCCUGAAAUUACUUGUUUAGAGGACAUUAGGAAAUUAGAUAGGUUUUCUGAGCCUCCUGCUUUUGGGCCAGUGUGUGACCUGCUGUGGUCUGAUCCCUUAGAGGACUACGGCAGCGAGAAGACCCUGGAGCACUAUACCCACAACACUGUCCGAGGCUGCUCCUACUUCUUCAGUUACCCUGCAGUUUGUGAAUUUUUACAGAACAACAGUUUAUUAUCAAUAAUCAGAGCCCAUGAAGCCCAGGAUGCGGGGUACCGAAUGUAUAGGAAGAACCAAGCAACUGGCUUUCCGUCACUUAUUACGAUUUUCUCUGCCCCUAAUUACCUAGAUGUCUAUAACAAUAAAGCUGCAGUGUUGAAGUAUGAAAACAAUGUCAUGAACAUCAGGCAGUUCAACUGUUCCCCACACCCCUACUGGCUCCCAAACUUCAUGGAUGUUUUCACGUGGUCUUUGCCUUUUGUUGGAGAGAAAGUGACAGAGAUGCUGGUCAAUAUUCUCAACAUAUGCUCGGAUGAAGAAAUGAACGUAACCGAUGAAGAAGGAGCUACUACAGGUCGAAAAGAAGUCAUCAAGAAUAAAAUCCGAGCCAUUGGGAAAAUGGCCCGGGUCUUUACGGUUCUUCGGGAAGAGAGUGAGAAUGUGCUGACCCUCAAGGGCCUCACUCCCACAGGCACACUCCCACUGGGGGUCCUCUCUGGAGGAAAGCAGACCAUUGAGACUGACAAUUUAUUUCACCAAAGAAGAUGUGAAGAUGGCCAGCAAACAUGUAUGAAGAUGCCCAGCAUAGUUACUCUCCUGGAAGAUGAAUAUGAAAGCAUAGUGAACCACUUCUGCAUACCCAUAAGAAUGGCUGGAAUGUAGAAAUCUGACGAGGUCAAGAGUUGGUGUGUCUAUGGAGGCCUGGACUAGAAGUAGGCUAGUGGGCUUACACAUAGACUCAACACAUUGGCCAGCCGGUAGCCAAUAAAGCUGAAGACACUUGGACCCAUACCCUGCAACUCCACACCAAGGAUAUCCAAGAGGAAUUAGCAUGCAUGUCCACCCGAGGAUAUGCAUAAGCAUGUUUGUUUACUGUGGUUUUAUCAUGGUAGCUCCAGAUCAGAAGCAGCUCCCCUGCCUGUUGGUAGUGAAUACAUUAUAUUAUAUUGAUACAGUAGGCUACUGCUCACCCAUUGGACCUGUUGCAUUGAGGUCAAAGCACAAGCUUAGCUCCUGUCCAUCAGUAAGAAAGAGUGUCACUCUGAAAGCCAGUGAUAUCUUGAAGAGUUACACAUGCUUUGGAAAUAACAUAUAAGUAAUCCCUAAUUAAAGCACUGAUUCAAACCAGAAAUGAAGAGACAUAAAAUAUACUGGGACCAAGCCCAAAAAGGAGUGAAGAAAAAAAAAUAUGUAUAUACAUACAUAUAUAUAUAUCCCAAGUUACUGCACCUAUAAAAUUCUCUUGCUACCCUUGAUUUGUAGAUUUGCUCCUAUGAGAUCUAGCAAAAAAAUUAUAUUAAAGCAACUUUGUGGAUCAAUAAAUUUUUAAAACUUCAAGUAAGGAAGAUAGGUAGGCAUUUCUCUUUUUUUCUUAAUCCAUGUUACUUCCUAUUAACCUAAAACACCCUCAUCAGAACUGUUCACAGAAAAUCUCAUAUGACUAAUUAACAAGUAAAAUAAAAGUAGUUAAGUAUCUUAUAUUUUUAAAAGCCUGUACAUUUCUUUAGAGAUAUGGCCUCUAGGAGGUCGACCAUCCUUCAGAGGAUAGUUCACAGCCCUGUGAAAGAGACUAAGUAGAUUCAGUGAGUUAUUAAACAACAAAAAAGGAGAGGACAUGGAGAUGGUGGGAGGUGGGUAUGAUCAAGAUACACUAUAUAUGUACAAAUGAAGAUCCUGCAACCAUGGAGUUGAGGGUGCAUUGGAAAUACUUUAUGGACCUGAGAGAGGACUCAGUGGGUAAUAAAAGAUACUUAUUGCCAAAGUUGAUGACCUGAGUUUGGUCCCACAUGGUGGAAGAAGAGAACCAACUCCUGCACUCUUUAACCACCAUAUGUGUGCUGUGGCAUGCUCAUGAACACACACACACACACACACACACACACACACACACACACACACAAUGUAAUAGAACAUAAUGAAGGGGCUAGAGAGAUGGCUUAGCAGUUAAGAACACUUGCAUUCUUACAUGGGGCCUGAAUUUGGUUCUCAGCACCCACAUGGUGGCUCACAACCAUCUAUAACUGCAUUCCAGGGGAUCUGACACUUUUCUGAUCUCUACAGGCACCAUCCAUGCAAAUGGUACACAUAUAUAAAAGCAGAAAAAACAGCCAUAUACAUAAAAUAAAAAUCAACCUAAAAAAAGUUAACCACAGUCAGUGGUAACUAAGAUAGGUUUGAUGAUGAUGAUGAAGUCAGUAGGUAGCUGGAUGUGGCUGCAUGCUUGUAAUCUCAGCACUUGAGUGGCAGACAUGGGAGGAUCAGGAAGGAGUUUGAUAUUCUAGCUACACAGCAAAUUUCAGGGAUGGCCUGGCCUAUAUAUGACCCUGCUUAAAAAAAAUCGUUUUAAGGAUUAAUGAGAGCUUCAGUGUCUGUAAUAAAGCUCUUGCCUGGUGUGCAUGAAACUUUUGGUUUGAUCCUUAGGACUGGGGAAAUGACAGAAAGGAAGGAAAGAAAGGAAAUUGUUGAUGAGAUUUUAGAGAAAUGAGGUCAUCCUGUGCUGCUUGAGGGAAUAGAGCUACUGUAGAGAGAACAUUGUAUCAGUUCUUCAGAUGACUAAAUAGAGUCACCAUAGAUUCAGCACUGCCACCCUACACGGCCCCCUCCAGUGAGAGAAAUAAACUAUGUCCUCACCAAGACUUGUAUAUCAAUGGUCAUACAUGACACUUUCAAAAGAGCCUCACAUGGCAUUCUUCUGAACACCCUAAAGUAGAUGCGACUUCAGUGUUCAUCCAUUGGAUAACAAAGUAAGGUCUAUACAGUGGGAUUCCACAUAGCCAUAACAAGAAGGAAUGCACUCAUAUGCAUCAAGGCUAGGCUAUACUGCAUAGUGAGUUCCACGCCAGCCUAGCCUACGUAGUGAGAGCCUGUCUCAAAACAGCAAAAAUAGUGACAUACACACUUGAAACAAUGUUCUAGCAUAGGAAUUAUAUGUAAACAGUUUCAUAAUUUUUUUUCUUACCAUGUCCCUUGGUACAUACAGACUGCAUCUUAGUAACCAAUGCAAAAAACAGUUCAGUGAGGGCCCUAAAAUUUUAAUACUGGAGGUCUGUAGAGAUGGCUCAACAGUUAAGAGUACUUAUGGUCUUUGCAGGGGACCUGAAUUCGGUUCCCAAAACCACAUAAUAGCUCAAAGUCAUCCUUGCCUCCAGUUCCAGGGGGUGUGACAUCCUCUUCUGAUCUCCACAUAUGCAGGCAAAACAUUCAGACACAUGAAAUAAAUAAAUCUAGAUUUUUUUUUUUUUGAAAUGGGAUGCUGGUAUAUACUUUACCACACACAUUCAAACUCCAAGUAAACCACCACUCUCCGUAGAGUUUUAGACGGAACUCUGGUUCCCACCUUCUCACAGCUGCAGAGGCAGCACCCUGCUCUGUGAGAGGUGCUGUCCCUCCUUGUGUGGCUUAUCUGGCCCGUCUGAGGUCAGAGAGACUACAGCAGUGCUCUAACAGGAGCCUUCCUAGGGGCCAUUGCAGGCACAUGGGUGCUGGCCGCCAGAUCCUGCUCUUAAAUUGCAGUGGGAGGUGAAGGAGCUUCGCAGCUCUCUCUCUCUCAUAGUGAUGAAGGAAACCUCACGGUGGUCUUGCUGCUGAGUGGCCUUCCUUCCUUCCUUAGGAAAGUUGCCCUUGGAGGAGCUGGCAGGGCUCUAAUGGGAUCUCAUUGCUGUACCCUGGAACCAUUUCAUGUGUUACAGCUUGACUGCCUGACAGAAAGUGGCAGGGGGAAGUUUCCCUAUUGGUGCUCAUUUUAAUUGCUUCCAUUUCUGGCACCGGAAGGGAGAAGAUUGCUUUCUUAGUAAUUGACCUGCUUUCUUGCACAAGGAAAAGAAGCCAUAUGAGGUGUUAGCGUGAGCCUCUGCCAUGUCCUGCAUCUCAGAUGGGUACAAAUCAAUUAGAGUUCAAAUCAAUGCCUAGCUGUUCACCUCUAGACCAGAAGUAACUCUUCACUUAUAACCUAUUUUUCUCCCCUUCCAAAUGCUAGAGCUAUUCAAGUACUGUCCUAUUCUUUUAUUAUUGUAAUUAUUAAAUGGUUAAGGACAGUUAGGUCAUGCGUAAGUCAUUUAACAAUACUAAGAAGCAAGAUUAAAUAGGAUUUUUAAAUAGGACUGAGCAACAGCUCGAUUGAUACAAUCUGAGCAGUUACAAGCUCAAACAUAGUUGUGAUAUUAAAUUAUCUGAUUUAACAAGUCAUUUUGAUGUGUGAUGAUCACAAGACACAACCAGCAGUUGAUGAUUUCAAAUUCCCAUGCCAACAGGAGUGUUAGAACUGUUAGUGCCUCCCCACCUCAUGCGCAUGCUCCUGAGGUAAUCCCCUCCCUUCUCUCUCUGGGUGGGACCCUGGCUGCUUUACUGUCAGUUCACUCAUCCUUUCUCUGUCUUCAUUUUUGUAUGCACUGCUCCUGCCUUCUUACAGCCAAACAAGAAGCCGCAGAGGAGCGGGAAGCCAUCAGAGGUUUUACAAUUGCACACAGGAUCCGAAGUUUUGAAGAAGCCCGAGGUCUAGACCGAAUUAAUGAGAGAAUGCCACCCCGAAAAGAGGCUUCAUAUCAUCAUGAUGCAGGGAGGAUGCACUCACACUCGCAUCCGCCACACCCACAGGCGUCAAGAAGGACCGACCAUGGAAAGAAAGCCCUGUAAUGACUCAGGGCCCUGUGCAGCACAGAUGGGUCCCAACCCUAUGAGCAAAUCACAUUUAUUUAUACUGGAAAUGAAACAGGAACAACUCAAACAACUUAAACUUGGAGGUGCAUUUGUAAUUCAGUCGCAUUUAUUCUGUAAGAAAAAUGACCAUUUUAUAAAUUCUUCUAAUUUAUGUUCAAUAUAUAUAUAUAUAUAAAA
RNA transcript from Mus musculus (house mouse), 5902 nucleotides. It is a transcript of the gene named protein phosphatase 3, catalytic subunit, gamma isoform, with no coding region annotated. Lineage: Eukaryota; Metazoa; Chordata; Mammalia; Rodentia; Muridae. The transcript has 14 exons. The record is from RefSeq and is marked validated.